This 2333-nucleotide long non-coding RNA is filed under the name Chloebia gouldiae (Gouldian finch). RNAcentral's name for it is "Erythrura gouldiae (Gouldian finch) lncRNA (ENSEGOG00005018525.1)". Lineage: Eukaryota; Metazoa; Chordata; Aves; Passeriformes; Passeridae. The record is from RNAcentral.
CCAAGACGUUACAGCAGCCCAGGAUCAUGAGUGACAGAGCCUGUGCCUACAGCUGUCAGCUCCAGCUGCAGACAAGCCAGAAGACACUUUAAUGUUGGUUACAAUGCAUUACAUACUUUUCUUUGCUGAACAUCUUAAUAGAAAAGAACCAAUCUAUACUUUAACUUUUACCUAUAGGCUAUCAUAACUACUAUUAUUACCAUAUUUAUGCUACUAUUCUCCAAUCAUAAAAAGUAUGUUACCGUUUAAGCUAGUUGUUUUUCAGUUUUCUUGUAGUGGAAAAUUCUGAGACUUUUUUUACUUCUUGCAACAUCAGCAGUCUUGUUUGCCUGUGGUAUCCUUGUGCUUGGUAAAACAUCUUCUUGUUUGAGGUGGGUUUAUCCUUUGCUCUAAGCCAUAAAACCCCCUCCUAACUAACGUACCCUUUGCCUUCUUAGUUAUCCAGUAAGAUAGUCUCAGCAGUUCUUUUCUUCUAUAUCAAAACUUGCUUUCAUUUCUAUUCUUUCUUCAGAUUCUACAUUCAAAAAUCUUCCUGCCAAGCAUACAUAUCUGUGAGACUUUCUUGUCAAACUUCCAUCCUUCCCAACACAAAACCAUGCCCAAAACUGCACCCAAACGACUGCCCAGGUCUGGCCUUAACACCGACCCAUCACAUCACGGGAUUCAUACAAUAUUUGCACAACCACUCCAUCUCCAACCACCGCCGGCUGCAGCCGCGUCCGGGUGCUCUUUCCUUCCAGUUCACUCCCAGUGCUCCCAGUAAGAGCGGUGCUGGGAGGGAAAGCGCUCCCAGUUUCUUCUCGCUGAUCUCAGGAUCGCUCCCGGUGCACUCACUAUCGUUCCCAGCGCUCCCAGCCUCACUCCCAGUGCCGCACAGGCCGGGGCCGCUUUGGAACCCGCCCAUGGCAGAGCGCGGCAGCUUUUGGGUGUCGGCACCGCCCGGGCCGGGCUGGGAGCGGAAGAGGAGGAGCAGGAAGAGGAGGGACAGAAGAGGAAGACGAGGAGGGGAAUGAGGAGCAGCACCAACACCACGUGGUUCCCCUGCUCAGACCGAGCUCCUCCGGCUCCGCCAGCAGCACUCCCGGAACCCCCCCCGGAACCCGCCGGUUCCCCCCGGAACCCGCCGGUGAGCGGGAAGGGGGAGCUCGCCCCAAAUCCAUUCGGGAGGUCUCCGGGAGGGUUUUUAGCGGGGCAGGGGAUGUUUGGAUUUUGCAGGACUGCACAACCGAGCCGGAAAUGCUCCUGGAGGGAACUUGGAGGAUCCCAUGUGGCUAUCACCCGGAUUUCCCAUUCCCAAACCUUGGCCCGAUGCAGGAGGAGGAGCCCGUGAGCAAGAGGAGGAAGGCCCGGGAGCCCCAGGCAGACAAGGAGCUGAGGAUGGAGACCAGGGAGGACAAAUCCCCACAUCAGAACCUCGUGGAAGAGGCUGUUUUGAGUAGCUCCACAGCACAGGAAUCUAACGGGGAGGAAAAAGCCAGGAGAUCAGACAUGAGGAGGGCUGCAAAUGCAAAUCACGGGGAUCCGAGGAGGAAAGACUCACCCUGGGCCAGGGAGGCGGCCGGAACUCGGAGCUGGGCGUCCACAAGCAGCUUCAUGAUGGGGAGAAGUCCCACAAGUGCUUGGAAUGUGGGAAGAGCUUCAGCCAGAAAUGUGACCUGAUCCGCCACUGGAGAAUCCACACUGGGGAACGGCCCUAUGAGUGUGAUAAAUUCAGGAAGAUGUUUCAGAUGAGUUCCUGUCUCAUCAGGCUUUAGCAGAGUCACACAGAGUAGAGGCCCUUCCACUGCCCCAACUGUGCAAAGGCCUUCAGGAACAACUCCAGCCUUGUCACCCACCUGCGCAUCCACACCGGGGAGAGGCCCUACGAGUGUCCCGAGUGUGGGAAGAGCUUCACCCAGAACUCCACUCUGACUGCCCACCUGAGGAGCCACAUUGGGGAACAGCCCUACGAGUGUGCGGAGUGUGGGAAGGGCUUCAGGACAAGCUCUGAACUGACCAUCCACCAGAGAAGCCACACUGGAGAACGGCCCUAUGUGUGUUCUGAGUGUGGGCAGAGCUUCCAGAAGAGCUGCCACCUGACCCGCCACAUGGCAAUCCAUACAGGGCAACAGCCCUUCAAGUGUGGGCAGUGUGGGAAGAGCUUGAGGUCGAGGUCUGAACUGAUUGUCCACCAGAGGAGCCACACUGGGGAGAGGCCCUAUGAGUGUGGGCAGUGUGGGAAGCGCUUUAUGUCAAAGUCCCACCUGAUCUACCACCAGAGGAGCCACAGUGGGGAGAGGCCCUACGAGUGUGAUAAAUGCAAGAAGACUUUUCAGACCAGCUCCAGUCUCAUU